AAUGAUCCUUCCGGUAGGGGGAACCUGCGGAAGGAUCAUUAGUGAAUAUAGGACGUCCAACUUAACUUGGAGUCCGAACUCUCACUUUCUAACCCUGUGCAUUUGUUUGGGAUAGUAACUCUCGCAAGAGGGCGAACUCCUAUUCACUUAUAAACACAAAGUCUAUGAAUGUAUUAAAUUUUAUAACAAAAUAAAACUUUCAACAACGGAUCUCUUGGCUCUCGCAUCGAUGAAGAACGCAGCGAAAUGCGAUAAGUAAUGUGAAUUGCAGAAUUCAGUGAAUCAUCGAAUCUUUGAACGCACCUUGCGCUCCAUGGUAUUCCGUGGAGCAUGCCUGUUUGAGUGUCAUGAAUACUUCAACCCUCCUCUUUCUUAAUGAUUGAAGAGGUGUUUGGUUUCUGAGCGCUGCUGGCCUUUAGGGUCUAGCUCGUUCGUAAUGCAUUAGCAUCCGCAAUCGAACUUCGGAUUGACUUGGCGUAAUAGACUAUUCGCUGAGGAAUUCUAGUCUUCGGACUAGAGCCGGGUUGGGUUAAAGGAAGCUUCUAAUCAGAAUGUCUACAUUUUAAGAUUAGAUCUCAAAUCAGGUAGGACUACCCGCUGAACUUAAGCAUAUCAAAAGNCGGGAGGAA
RNAcentral lists this ribosomal RNA (629 nucleotides) under Rhodotorula mucilaginosa. RNAcentral describes it as "eukaryotic LSU rRNA". The stretch from base 195 to 348 matches the Rfam family "5.8S ribosomal RNA". Lineage: Eukaryota; Fungi; Basidiomycota; Microbotryomycetes; Sporidiobolales; Sporidiobolaceae. The record is from RNAcentral.